AUUGAACGCUGGCGGCAGGCCUAACACAUGCAAGUCGAGCGGCUGAAGGGAGCUUGCUCCUGGAUUCAGCGGCGGACGGGUGAGUAAUGCCUAGGAAUCUGCCUGGUAGUGGGGGAUAACGUCCGGAAACGGGCGCUAAUACCGCAUACGUCCUGAGGGAGAAAGUGGGGGAUCUUCGGACCUCACGCUAUCAGAUGAGCCUAGGUCGGAUUAGCUAGUUGGUGGGGUAAAGGCCUACCAAGGCGACGAUCCGUAACUGGUCUGAGAGGAUGAUCAGUCACACUGGAACUGAGACACGGUCCAGACUCCUACGGGAGGCAGCAGUGGGGAAUAUUGGACAAUGGGCGAAAGCCUGAUCCAGCCAUGCCGCGUGUGUGAAGAAGGUCUUCGGAUUGUAAAGCACUUUAAGUUGGGAGGAAGGGCAGUAAGUUAAUACCUCGCUGUUUUGACGGUACCAAAAGAAUAAGCACCGGCUAACUUCGUG
This 484-nucleotide ribosomal RNA is filed under the name uncultured bacterium. RNAcentral describes it as "partial 16S ribosomal RNA". It matches the Rfam family "Bacterial small subunit ribosomal RNA", at positions 30 to 507 of the family's 1533-position model. The record is from RNAcentral.